CAGUAGCCGCGGUAAUACGUAGGUGGCAAGCGUUGUCCGGAAUUAUCGGGCGUAAAGGGCUCGCAGGCGGUUUCUUAAGUCUGAUGUGAAAGCCCCCGGCUCAACCGGGGAGGGUCAUUGGAAACUGGGAAACUUGAGUGCAGAAGAGGAGAGUGGAAUUCCACGUGUAGCGGUGAAAUGCGUAGAGAUGUGGAGGAACACCAGUGGCGAAGGCGACUCUCUGGUCUGUAACUGACGCUGAGGCACGAAAGCGUGGGGAGCAAACAGGAUUAGAUACCCCCGUAGUCCCUGUCUCUUAUAC
Molecule: ribosomal RNA, 301 nt
Filed under: uncultured bacterium
Lineage: Bacteria
Description: partial 16S ribosomal RNA
Rfam family: Bacterial small subunit ribosomal RNA
Source: RNAcentral